AAGGCCUUCGGGUUGUAAAGCUACUUUUGUCAGGAACGAAACGGACUUGGUUAAUACCUGGGUCUAAUGACGGUACCUGAAGAAUAGGCACCGGCUAACUACGUGC
This 106-nucleotide ribosomal RNA is filed under the name uncultured bacterium. Its description in RNAcentral is "partial 16S ribosomal RNA". The record is from RNAcentral.